CACAACAGUACCGCACCUGGAGGGCGUCCAGGUCGGCGCUGAUCACGUCAUCGAUCUCCCUGCAAAUUACGGAGUGGGAGGAUGAUUUCAGGCGGGGAAUCUCAGCAGAGGAAUUCUCUCAACAACAGCUCUCCUCCCUAACCCCCAGUUCCCUCCUUCCCGUUACAACGCUCGUGUGACCCUCUGCCCCACCAGACCUCAACUUGACCUUGGCCUCACCUGGAACACGUGGAAGCCCACAGUGAGCAGCGUCAGCCGGAACUGGGGAUUGGUCCAGAAGGUUUCUGACAGAAGAGAAGGAGGUGGAGUUCCCAGCCUGCCACAGCCCCCGCCCCAGCUUCCUUCUCAGGGGCCCUCAGGCCUCACCAGCACUGGGCUGGCUCCCGCCGGAGUUGAAACCUCUCACCCAGCGGCCCUGGAAGAUGUGGAUAUGCCAGCCUCCGCCAGCAGGGCUGGGACCCAGCACCUCAGGGCUCAGUGAACAGAUCUGGACCGUGUUGAAGUGCGUGAGGAAGUCCUGAAGCUCCAUCCUGGACAGCACCGACCAUGGGAGAUGCCCAGUCACUCCGGAGUCCAACUUGAGGGACCCCAAAAGUGGUCUCCAGCCACAAAGCUCCCAGUUCCUUAAAUACUGCCAAUAUAAGCUCCACUCUCCAGAAACCCUGAAGGUCUGAGGCCUUGCCAAGUCAUCCGAGUCCUGACAAAUGCCCCACUACUGGGGAUAUUUAAACUCUCAGAUAUCUUCAAAUUAACUUUAGACAAUCUUCAGGUAGGCCGGGAAGAUGACGGAGCCGGUAAAGCUAUGGUCGCAGCUCACCUGUGGUCGCGUGCUAUUACUUUAACCGUGUAUAGGUGUAUUGUGUUUCUCUGCUUUUGUUAACGGUGCAAAGACAUGUGACAUUUAUUUGAGUAAAUAAAAUU
Molecule: long non-coding RNA, 921 nt
Organism: Microtus oregoni (creeping vole)
Lineage: Eukaryota; Metazoa; Chordata; Mammalia; Rodentia; Cricetidae
Exons: 3
Source: RefSeq, a predicted model, not a curated record